Molecule: transfer RNA, 74 nt
Filed under: Camelus bactrianus (Bactrian camel)
Lineage: Eukaryota; Metazoa; Chordata; Mammalia; Artiodactyla; Camelidae
Also listed under: 2 other names
Rfam family: tRNA
About the family: Transfer RNA (tRNA) molecules are approximately 80 nucleotides in length.
Source: Rfam by way of RNAcentral
UGGGGUACAGCUCAGUGGUAGAGUACACAUGCUUAGCAUGCAUGAGGUCCUAGGUUCAAUCCCUGGUAUCCCCA